RNAcentral lists this ribosomal RNA (292 nucleotides) under Shigella sonnei. Its description in RNAcentral is "partial 16S ribosomal RNA". It matches the Rfam family "Bacterial small subunit ribosomal RNA", at positions 773 to 1064 of the family's 1533-position model. The record is from RNAcentral. Lineage: Bacteria; Pseudomonadati; Pseudomonadota; Gammaproteobacteria; Enterobacterales; Enterobacteriaceae.
UAGGAUUAGAUACCCUGGUAGUCCACGCCGUAAACGAUGUCGACUUGGAGGUUGUGCCCUUGAGGCGUGGCUUCCGGAGCUAACGCGUUAAGUCGACCGCCUGGGGAGUACGGCCGCAAGGUUAAAACUCAAAUGAAUUGACGGGGGCCCGCACAAGCGGUGGAGCAUGUGGUUUAAUUCGAUGCAACGCGAAGAACCUUACCUGGUCUUGACAUCCACGGAAGUUUUCAGAGAUGAGAAGGUGCCUUCGGGAACUGUGAGACAGGUGCUGCAUGGCUGUCGUCAGCUCGUG